UUUUACGAUUUACCGAAUAUAUUCAAUGAAUAUCAACUGACAGAAAUCAGAAAAGUGACGCUUGCCAGAAUCUUUUGUGAUAACAGCAAUAAUGUCACAAUGAUGCAGAAAAAAGUAUUUUUGAUACCUGAAAUGGCUGAUUUGCACCUCUGUAGUUCCCAAUUAAUUCCAAAAAUCAACAUCAAUCACUGGUCAGAUAUGGUCGAUACAUUUCAAAAAUGACCUCGUAUAAAUCAUUGAUGUAUUUAUUUAUAAUGUAUUAUUGAUGAAAAACAA
Molecule: long non-coding RNA, 276 nt
Organism: Acyrthosiphon pisum (pea aphid)
Lineage: Eukaryota; Metazoa; Arthropoda; Insecta; Hemiptera; Aphididae
Exons: 2
Source: RefSeq, a predicted model, not a curated record